GUACUUUUGUACUUGUGGGACGCCGUGCAAAUAUAGGGGAGACUCUGUCCAUGUGAACAGUGGAUUCCCUAUAUUUGUGGCGGAUCUGACAUACUCUGGGGUCAGAUUUUUUUAAAAAAUAAAAAAAAAAAAAUUUAAACGCUUUUCCGCUGUGUUUCAAACUAAAAGGGGACCCCGGGGCGUGACAAUAGUAAAUUAAAUAGUUAAUUAAUAAUAAAUAAACUAAUUAAGAAUAAAUUAAUGGUAAAUUAAUUAAUUAUAAUUAAAAAAUAAAUUAACAAUUAAUUAAUUAUUAAUUACUAAAUAAAUAAAUAAAGUAAUUAUUAAUAAUUAUAAAUAACAAUAAUUUAAUUAAUAAUUAUAAAUAAUAAAUUAAUAAAUUAUUUUAUUAUUUAAGCACUAAAUAAUAAUUUAAAUAUAUUAAUUAAAUUAAUUAAUUAUUUAAUAUCAUAAUUAAAAUUAUUUUUAGAUUUUAAUUAACAUUAUUCUCAACUGGGAGUAAGAUUAUUUCAGAGAAAAAGUGAAACAUCAGUUCUAAUCUUAUACCGACUUAUUUGAGAAAUUCGAAAAUUACUGUUUUUGGGUGCUAAAUGCAGCGUUUGAAAACAAAUGAGAGAAUAAGAAAUUAUUCCCACUCUGGUUCCACAACCAAACGCUACCUUGAAGAUGGAGUCUUUUUCCAAAUCCCCACAGCU
This 695-nucleotide long non-coding RNA is filed under the name Ananas comosus (pineapple). RNAcentral describes it as "long non-coding RNA (ACOM_LNC042085)". Lineage: Eukaryota; Viridiplantae; Streptophyta; Magnoliopsida; Poales; Bromeliaceae. The record is from RNAcentral.